AUUAUCUUUCUCACAAAUAUUAUAUUUUAAUUGAAACUUCUACAAAAUAUAUCUAGAAGAAUUUUAAUUUACAAAAAUAUUAAUAUAAUAAUUAAAUUUUUAUUUUAAAAUUUAAUCUCUUCAAUAUUAUCGAAAUCGACAUAAUCGAAUGAAUGCACAUAAUUACUAGUUACCGGACACUAUGCUAUUCUCUAUCAUUAAAAUGUGGGUCAAUUCCCCUUCGUUAAAUUUCCAAUAGAAAUACGUGACAUCAUAUUAUCUUACUACUAUUAAAUUAGAUAUACAUAUAAUAUAAUUCACCAGAAAAUAGUAGAGUAUUUAUCUCUAUCUCUCGCUCUCACAUUUCAUCUCUUCUGUCAUCAAUAUCGUUUGUUAGAAAACAAUUAAACGAUAAGUCUCCCAAUCAAAGAACUUCUCUUUAUUUGUAAUUGAUACUUUAAUUGGGAGAUCAAUGCUGUAAAAUCAUUCCAGUUCUUCGCUUAUCAUCUUUGUUACUUUUCUCAGCCAAUAUGCGUGAUAAUAGGAAAGAUGGAAUAGAAUGAGAGCGCACAUUUUAUCUAGCCAACUUCUGACGAAUGUAUACACGUCACGUGACACUCAAGCCUCAAGCCAAGCGUUACACGUGACGUGUCUAUAGCAGUGAAGAUAAUAACGUUACGUAGAGAAAUUGAAUUACGUUUAGUGGUAGUGGGAUAGCAUAGAGUCCGCAUCUAACAAUUCUGCAACUUCGAUCGUCGACUUUAGCAGUGCAGCGACAGGAGAAAAGAAUGGGUGUCGACUAUGUGUUUGAGCAUAUGUUCAACGGUUCUCUUCGGCGUAUCGCAUUUCCUAUAAUCACCCCAUCGGCCAGCAGCUGCGGCUGGUGUCAGGGGCGAUCCAUUUGUUAAUCUGCAGCAUAACGGUUCGUUACAAUCCGCAUUCGCGCCUUCUUGAUAAUAAGGAUCGUAGUGAGUAUCGGAGAUAUGAAGGACUUUGAAGGUCGGCGCACCUUCUUGGGGGGGCACUGGCGGUUUAACUGGUGGUUUAUUCACAGGUGGGAAUGCCACUUCCCACUCGUGUAGAGGAUUGUAAGUGUCGUCGCAUGCGUCACCAAUAACAAAGCUACAGAUUUGCGCUGGUCCCAUAUCGACUUGUUUGAGUACGUAAAUUACUU
Apis mellifera (honey bee) is the source of this 1153-nucleotide long non-coding RNA. RefSeq lists it as uncharacterized. The record is from RefSeq and is a predicted model, not a curated record. The transcript has 2 exons. NCBI's taxonomy places the organism in Eukaryota, Metazoa, Arthropoda, Insecta, Hymenoptera, Apidae.